CCUGCUAGUCGCACGAACUUAGAUUCGUGGCGGAAAGCUCAGUAACACGUGGCCAAGCUACCCUGUGGACGGAAAUACUCUCGGGAAACUGAGGCUAAUGUCCGAUACAGCUUCCAUCCUGGAAUGGAGGAAGCUCGAAACGUUCCGGCGCCACAGGAUGCGGCUGCGGCCGAUUAGGUAGACGGUGGGGUAACGGCCCACCGUGCCAGUAAUCGGUACGGGUGAUGAAAGUCAGAGCCCGGAGACGGUAUCUGAGACAAGAUGCCGGGCCCUACGGGGCGCAGCAGGCGCGAAACCUUUACACUGCACGACAGUGCGAUAGGGGGACUCCGAGUGCGAGGGCAUACAGUCCUCGCUUUUCUGUACCGUAAGGUGGUACAAGAAUAAGGGCUGGGCAAGACCGGUGCCAGCCGCCGCGGUAAUACCGGCAGCCCAAGUGAUGGCCAAUUUUAUUGGGCCUAAAGCGUCCGUAGCUGGCCAGACAAGUCUGUUGGGAAAUCCACAUGCUUAACAUGUGGGCGUCCAGCGGAAACUGUCUGGCUUGGGGCCGGAGGACUCGAGGGGUACGUUCGGGGUAGGAGUGAAAUCCCGUAAUCCUGAACGGACCACCGGUGGCGAAAGCGCCUCGAGAGGACGGACCCGACAGUGAGGGACGAAAGCCAGGGUCUCGAACCGGAUUA
This 680-nucleotide ribosomal RNA is filed under the name uncultured archaeon. RNAcentral's name for it is "bacterial SSU rRNA". It matches the Rfam family "Archaeal small subunit ribosomal RNA", at positions 50 to 731 of the family's 1478-position model. The record is from RNAcentral.